GUCUGUCGCUGAGUGUGUCUCUGUCAGUAAAUGUGUGUGUCUGUUAGCUAGUGUGUAUGCGUCUGUUCGUGAGAGUGUGUGUGUGUAUGUCUUUAGCAUUUACCUUUCUCCAGCGUCGGACUUCCUUGGCGCUGGGGAUCCCUCCGCCUCUCAGCUCCGAAUGCACAUGUGCGGCAAGAGGCGCAUGCGCAUUUAAACCGCCC
This is a non-coding RNA of Pelobates cultripes (western spadefoot toad), 203 nucleotides long. Lineage: Eukaryota; Metazoa; Chordata; Amphibia; Anura; Pelobatidae. The record is from the annotation of a GenBank genome assembly.